UUCGAAAUAGAGACAAAAGAAAAAGAUAUUUAAUAAGGAAAAAUACAUUUUCUUUAUGUGCAGAAAGAUAAGUUGAUAGAAGGAAUUGUCAACCAAUGAGGAUAACGAUACUUGUUGUAAAUUUGUUGAUUGGUCAGUCAGAUGACAAGCCCGUCCUAACGUCCUGUGGUCAAGAUGGCCUGAGUGACAGCAGACAUGCGAAAAUUUCUCUGAACAGAUUAAGCUAAUUCGAAGUGAAUUACAAGUGAAUUUAGGAUACAAUUGCAGAUAUUUUAUUGAGGUGUGACAGUAACUUGAAAAGAAUCAGAGAUUUAUAAAGAAAUAACGAAGAUUUUCAACGUUCUUCUAUCGCCCUGGGCAACGAUCGCGUGAAAGAGAAUUUUCUGCAUUCGCCAUAAAUAUCGUUGAAAACUGAACUUUGAACAACUUUGAACAUAUUCCCUUGGCCGGGUUUUUUUUUUUUGUGUGUGUGUUGGUUUUUUGUUGUUCGAUUUGAACUGCUGUGCUGGAUCCUGGAUUCCUCUGCCCCUGCUUGCCUUCCCUGGAGAGCUACAGCGGCGUGCGGACUGACGAGCCACCCAUGUGAUUGACCUGCAAU
Long non-coding RNA from Anguilla anguilla (European eel), 598 nucleotides. RefSeq lists it as uncharacterized. The record is from RefSeq and is a predicted model, not a curated record. The transcript is spliced from 2 exons. Lineage: Eukaryota; Metazoa; Chordata; Actinopteri; Anguilliformes; Anguillidae.